RNAcentral lists this ribosomal RNA (591 nucleotides) under Triticum aestivum (bread wheat). RNAcentral describes it as "partial small subunit ribosomal RNA". Lineage: Eukaryota; Viridiplantae; Streptophyta; Magnoliopsida; Poales; Poaceae. The record is from RNAcentral.
AUGAGCUCCGCCGCCGCCGCCUCCUCGUCGGCGUCGCCGGUGCCGCCGGAGGACGACGUCUGCUCCGUCUGCCACGACCGCUUCCGGAUCCCCUGCCAGGCCAACUGCUCCCACUGGUUCUGCGGAGAGUGCAUCAUCCGUGUUUGGAAUCAUGGAGCUGCUGUACAGCCUUGCAAGUGUCCCAUUUGCCGCCGCCUUAUAAAUCUGCUGGUACCUGCUAAUGUAUCAGACGAUCAGAAUGAUGAUCCCCAGCUUCAACGUGUUUUGGGAGAGAUUCAGCACUACAAUCACAUAUUCGGUGGAGCACCACGCAGCCUAACUCAGAGGCUGCAAGACCUACCGUUUUUCAUACGAAGGCUGUUCAGAGAACUAAUGGAUCCCCAGAGGACCCUCCCACUUGUAUUCAGGGCGAGGAUGAUUCUGAUGGUGAUCCUGAGCGGAGUCUACGUCCUGAGCCCCGUCGACAUCCUCCCUGAAAGCGUGCUGGGGCUGUUUGGGUUCUUCGACGACUUCCUCAUCCUGGUGAUCGUGUUCCUCCACCUGGCGGCCGUGUACCGGUCGCUGCUCCUCUACCGCCACGGAGGCCACUGA